RNAcentral lists this ribosomal RNA (253 nucleotides) under uncultured bacterium. RNAcentral describes it as "partial 16S ribosomal RNA". It matches the Rfam family "Bacterial small subunit ribosomal RNA", at positions 524 to 776 of the family's 1533-position model. The record is from RNAcentral.
UACGUAGGGCGCAAGCGUUGUCCGGAAUUAUUGGGCGUAAAGAGCUCGUAGGCGGUUUGUCGCGUCUGCUGUGAAAACUCGAGGCUCAACCUCGGGCUUGCAGUGGGUACGGGCAGACUAGAGGUAGGUAGGGGAGAAUGGAAUUCCCGGUGUAGCGGUGAAAUGCGCAGAUAUCAGGAGGAACACCGGUGGCGAAGGCGGUUCUCUGGGCAUUACCUGACGCUGAGGAGCGAAAGUGUGGGGAGCGAACAGG